RNAcentral lists this ribosomal RNA (253 nucleotides) under uncultured bacterium. RNAcentral's name for it is "partial 16S ribosomal RNA". It matches the Rfam family "Bacterial small subunit ribosomal RNA", at positions 524 to 776 of the family's 1533-position model. The record is from RNAcentral.
UACGUAGGGUGCGAGCGUUAAUCGGAAUUACUGGGCGUAAAGCGUGCGCAGGCGGCUUUGCAAGACAGAUGUGAAAUCCCCGGGCUCAACCUGGGAACUGCAUUUGUGACUGCAAGGCUAGAGUACGGCAGAGGGGGAUGGAAUUCCGCGUGUAGCAGUGAAAUGCGUAGAUAUGCGGAGGAACACCAAUGGCGAAGGCAAUCCCCUGGGCUUGUACUGACGCUCAUGCACGAAAGCGUGGGGAGCAAACAGG